Molecule: long non-coding RNA, 275 nt
Filed under: Mytilus galloprovincialis (Mediterranean mussel)
Lineage: Eukaryota; Metazoa; Mollusca; Bivalvia; Mytilida; Mytilidae
Source: RNAcentral
AGUAAAGCAACGCCUAGGAUACUCAGAGCUAAAAAAAACGGAAUUAAGAAAAACGCGAGAGAAGAUUAACUGCAAUUCAUUGACGGAUUGGCGAAUGAAACAGAAGAGGCAUGCAAACAUAGAGAACUAAGUACUGUAUAUGAGACCACUAAAUAGCUAUAGAGAGAAUGUACCAACAAUUACACACCAGUUUUGCAACUCCAAGAAUGGAGAUGUAUUAACAUCUCAGUCACAGAAACUUUAGAUAUGGGCAGAGUACUUUCGGAAAAGACGGG